GAUGAACGCUGGCGGCGUGCUUAACACAUGCAAGUCGAACGAAGCGCUUUUAUUUGAUUUCUUCGGAAUGAAGAUUUUAGUGACUGAGUGGCGGACGGGUGAGUAACGCGUGGGUAACCUGCCUCAUACAGGGGGAUAACAGUUAGAAAUGACUGCUAAUACCGCAUAAGACCACAGUACCGCAUGGUACAGGGGUAAAAACUCAGGUGGUAUGAGAUGGACCCGCGUCUGAUUAGGUAGUUGGUGGGGUAACGGCCUACCAAGCCGACGAUCAGUAGACGGCCUGAGAGGGUGCCCGGCCACAUUGGGACUGAGACACGGCCCAAACUCCUACGGGAGGCAGCAGUGGGGAAUAUUGCACAAUGGGGGAAACCCUGAUGCAGCGACGCCGCGUGAGCGAUGAAGUAUUUCGGUAUGUAAAGCUCUAUCAGCAGGGAAGAAAAUGACGGUACCUGACUAAGAAGCACCGGCUAAAUACGUGCCAGCAGCCGCCGUAA
RNAcentral lists this ribosomal RNA (497 nucleotides) under uncultured bacterium. RNAcentral describes it as "partial 16S ribosomal RNA". It matches the Rfam family "Bacterial small subunit ribosomal RNA", at positions 28 to 523 of the family's 1533-position model. The record is from RNAcentral.